UUUCCCUCAGGAUAGCUGGCACUCGCUUGAGCGAGUCUCAUCUGGUAAAGCGAAUGAUUAGAGGCCUUGGGGCCGAAACGACCUCAACCUAUUCUCAAACUUUAAAUGGGUGAGAUCUCUGGCUUGCUUGAACGUUUGAAGCCACGAGAUUAUUGCAAUGGAUCAGAGUGCCAAGUGGGCCAAUUUUGGUAAGCAGAACUGGCGCUGUGGGA
This 212-nucleotide ribosomal RNA is filed under the name Physothorax sp. 1217_03. RNAcentral's name for it is "partial 28S ribosomal RNA". It matches the Rfam family "Eukaryotic large subunit ribosomal RNA", at positions 967 to 1163 of the family's 3401-position model. The record is from RNAcentral. Lineage: Eukaryota; Metazoa; Arthropoda; Insecta; Hymenoptera; Torymidae.